This 234-nucleotide ribosomal RNA is filed under the name uncultured bacterium. RNAcentral describes it as "partial 16S ribosomal RNA". It matches the Rfam family "Bacterial small subunit ribosomal RNA", at positions 103 to 334 of the family's 1533-position model. The record is from RNAcentral.
CGGGAGGUAACGGACGUGGGCGAACCUCGCCUCAUACAGGGGAGUAACAGUUAGAAAUGACUGCUAAUACCGCAUAAGCGCACAGCAUCGCAUGAUGCCGUGUGAAAAACUCCGGUGGUAUGAGAUGGACCCGCGUCUGAUUAGGUAGUUGGUGGGGUAACGGCCUACCAAGCCGACGAUCAGUAGCCGACCUGAGAGGGUGACCGGCCACAUUGGGACUGAGACACGGCCCAA